Molecule: ribosomal RNA, 475 nt
Filed under: uncultured bacterium
Lineage: Bacteria
Description: bacterial SSU rRNA
Rfam family: Bacterial small subunit ribosomal RNA
Source: RNAcentral
CAGGACGAACGCUGGCGGCGUGCUUCAUACAUGCAAGUCGAACGAGAAGCUGACUUCGGUCAGUGGAAAGUGGCGGACGGGUGAGUAACACGUAGGAAAUCUGCCCUUUGGAGGGGGACAACAGUUGGAAACGACUGCUAAUACCCCAUAUGAGCUAAGUUGAAAUACUUAUCUUGAAAACUCCGGUGCCAAAGGAUUUGAGCCUGCGCCUGAUUAGCUUGUUGGUGGUGUAAUGGACUACCAAGGCGACGAUCAGUAGCUGGUUUGAGAGGAUGAUCAGCCACAAUGGGACUGAGACACGGCCCAUACUCCUACGGGAGGCAGCAGUAGGGAAUUUUGCGCAAUGGGCGAAAGCCCUGACGCAGCAACGCCGCGUGAUUGAUGAAGCCCUUCGGGGUGUAAAGAUCUGUCAGCGGGGACGAAAUUUGACGGUACCCACAAAGGAAGCACCGGCUAACUCCGUGCCAGCCGCCGC